This 26-nucleotide non-coding RNA is filed under the name Homo sapiens (human). The record is from RNAcentral. Lineage: Eukaryota; Metazoa; Chordata; Mammalia; Primates; Hominidae.
UCAGAGUGCUGUUGGGAAUGAAGAUU